UGUUGAGCAAUUAUGUGGGAGACUAGUAGCGGUGCGCGCGUGCUUGACAAAGCAAUUGUGCAUGCGGAAAACGAUCAUUGUCUUGAUUGAUGCUCUACCCUUCAAAUGGUGUCGAUUAUAAAGC
Non-coding RNA from Caenorhabditis elegans, 124 nucleotides. NCBI's taxonomy places the organism in Eukaryota, Metazoa, Nematoda, Chromadorea, Rhabditida, Rhabditidae. The record is from Ensembl.